Long non-coding RNA from Anguilla rostrata (American eel), 2869 nucleotides. RefSeq lists it as uncharacterized. The transcript is spliced from 3 exons. The record is from RefSeq and is a predicted model, not a curated record. NCBI's taxonomy places the organism in Eukaryota, Metazoa, Chordata, Actinopteri, Anguilliformes, Anguillidae.
UCAGUCGUAAAAUGGCGGUUAAUGUAGUUACUCCUGAACUUCUACAAGACACUACACACCACAGUGCCCAUUCUAUAAUGUCAUGUAACACUAUGGUCUUGUGACCCUAAUGGCAAAGAGUCAUGCUGACUCAUUAAUUGCAUUAGAUUUACAUUUCCGGGCUUGUCGAACGUUCAUCCUGGUCGAUUUAGGUUUAGGCAAAAAAGAGCUUGUGCCACCAAGUCAUUACGGUCACAUCCGACCGUAGUGUUAGUGUUACAUGAUUUAGCCUACUUCGAAGUAGUUUAAACCUACUACAUAAAAUUACCGGUCCCAUUUAAUUACAUUAAUUUAGUAGACGGUCUUAUCCACUGUAACUGCGACGCUUAGGAGGACACACGCACACACUUUUUUAUUUUCUUUGGACAAGCCACUGAACAGUUAAUUGAGACAAGUCUAUUUUUCAUACAGUCUGAGACAAACUCACCCUGGCCUGGGGAACAAGAUGCAGGGAACGGAAGUACGAGCGGAAGAACUGGAUUUAAUGGCGGCAGUUUGAAAACUUAUGUUUUUAAAUUUUAUUUUGUGUUACUGUGUACAAUAUUUUUUUGGGCUUGAGGCCCAGUUCUUUUUCUGAUUACAGUAAUGAAGGGGGAAGUGUGUGGAUGGAUCUUCUGGGAAAGAGAAAACCGCUGUGCAAUCUGAAAAAUGCAGUGGAGGAGUGACGGUUUUGCACAUCCUGGUCUCCGUUUGUUUGUUUGUUUUAGUUAUUUCUCCCUUUUGUUUUGACGUGUUUAUUUUACAUUUUUUGCGUACUUGCUUUUAAAACAACUGAACGAACUCCUCCGAAUUACAAUGGAGAGAACAAGGAAAGUGCCUGGCCCUUGGAGAAAGUCCAAAGGCUGGGCUUGAAUGGGCCUCUGGACAGCUUCUUACACCGGCGCAUAUAUUUGCUGCAGAGAGAGCCAGGGAGCUUCCCCUUCGCCAGGCCCAGCCCAGAGCCCUCCACUGUCCGCACACGAAUGUUCUGAAGCACACGAACAAUAGUUCUAGACACGGACGGUUGUCCCGCGAGGGAGGAGUCCAACCCCCUGCUUACCCGGAGGUGCAUGGGGCUGACCUGCAGCCUGCCGCACAUGUCCAGGAAGUGGGGGACGCCCCGGGCGUCCAGGAUGAUGUAGACGGCCACGCUCCGCUUGGCCGCGGCGUCCAUCAGGUCCUGCAGGAUCUGGAGGUCGGUGAGGAGGUCCAUGACCAGCGCAAUCACCUGGAAAGCAGAACCGGAACGUGGUAAACCGGGCCGGCGCUGAUCGGCACCCAUCUGGACCAGACUGCCGAACGACGCCAGCUUGGGGUAAGGCUGACGGGCAGUAGGGUUCACUCCGAAAGUGGCCAUUUUUGACAGUUGCUUAGAAACAGCAUGGCCACAACCACAUUGUGUCUGGUGGCGGCUGCUUAACCAGAAGGGGCUGCAAUGCAUCCGUAAAUGAAACAUGUUCAUUUGCUCAGCAGACAAGCUUCUCCAGAGUGACUCAUAGUCACUGGGUUAAUUGAGGUGCUGCGAUGAGAACUCCCAGGAGAUUUAACUUGGAGAGAUUGAGAGCUAACAGCACUUUUGACAGCCGUACAGCUGGGGCUUCCCUACCUGGGAGAAUAGCGCUCGAGUCAGUGCUUCAGACUGCUGCCUCAACCUGCUCGCUUUCCUCCAGGCACUUUCUCCCCGUGCAGCUGAUCUGGGACCAGGGUUUCAUGCCUGUAUCCAAAUCACAGCUGUUUUCUGAGAGUGCUGGACCCUUAUACAGGACCAGUGCUUUGGUACACUCUACCCCCGCACUCCUUUGAUCCAAGGCGUGCCCUGCCAAACUGGCAUACUCAGGCCUGCUAAACUGAACCGUUCAGAUUUGAGCGUGCAAGUCUUGUGCAAGUCGCGUGACUACGCAUCUGAUUUAGUUCCAGGAACCGAUGUGGCACAAAUCGGAACGGGAAAGGUGUGACUCUGUUGGAUUUCAGUUUUGCCGUUUGCACUGUACUAAGAGCGUCAGAAUGGUGUCACGCGCAAGGGAAAGUCAUUUGGAGUCGGGCCACUCUCAGACACAGUCUGUACGUAAGCCGCGGAGUCCCGCCCAGUGCUAGCAGGAAAAACCCGUAAACGGGUGACUCAGUUUGGGCUCUACGUCGCGUUGUGCCCGAGAGCUGGGGACAAACCAGAACUGACACGAUUCCAAAACGCUUUAGGGGCUUAAAGCCAAUGACAAGGGAGAGAAAAAAAACGGCUGCCAAUAACCUUUAUAAUUACCUAAAAAAACUUGUUAUGUUAAAAUGCCACAUGCCGUUAAGCGUUUUUUUGCCUCCUGAACGUUUCCUCCGGUCUCUGAUUUACUUUUUGGGAUACCUUUCCUUGCGUCUACCUGCACAGCAUAUCGAGGCGGUACUGUAAUAAUCGGAGAGAAACAACACGUUAAAUAAAGACAAUGAGUUGCGCGCAUGCCCAGACAAAAAGUGAAAGCAAAUACAUCUGUUGUCAUUAGGUUUAGUUUGAGCUGAAAACGUGGAACUGAUUGAUGAUGAUGUUGUUUUCCUAGGCCAUUUUAUGUGGCCGUACUGGAAUGUAGCUUAGCAGCUCUUCUCAGUGAACGCAGCAAUUUCGCAAACGCAUCUACUUUGAUAUUCAAGAAUUUCCAACUAUAAAAGAUAUCAAUAAAGCUACAAAACAGAUUUUUGUGUGUGCAUGUAUGUGAGUGGAUACCAUGCUUGUAUUUUCGUGCUAAUGUGUGUUUGUGCAUGUGUUCAUAGUUACAAUUUGUGUGUGUGUGUUCAUGUUUAUCUAUGGAUGGGUGUCUUCUAAAAUUAAACAAGUCUUGUUUUUUUUCCAAUAAAGCAAUGAAAUGCA